UACGGAGGGUGCUAGCGUUGUUCGGAAUUACUGGGCGUAAAGGGCGCGUAGGCGGCCGUUUGCGUCGGAUGUGAAAGCCCGGGGCUCAACCUCGGAACGGCAUCCGAUACGGGACGGCUGGAGACCGGGAGAGGAGGGUGGAAUAGCCAGUGUAGAGGUGAAAUUCGUAGAUAUUGGCUGGAACACCGGUGGCGAAAGCGGCUCUCUGGCCCGGUUCUGACGCUGAGGCGCGAAAGCGUGGGGAGCAAACAGG
This 253-nucleotide ribosomal RNA is filed under the name uncultured bacterium. Its description in RNAcentral is "partial 16S ribosomal RNA". It matches the Rfam family "Bacterial small subunit ribosomal RNA", at positions 524 to 776 of the family's 1533-position model. The record is from RNAcentral.